Molecule: ribosomal RNA, 404 nt
Filed under: uncultured Clostridium sp.
Lineage: Bacteria; Bacillati; Bacillota; Clostridia; Eubacteriales; Clostridiaceae
Description: bacterial SSU rRNA
Rfam family: Bacterial small subunit ribosomal RNA
Source: RNAcentral
UGGGGAAUAUUGCACAAUGGGGGAAACCCUGAUGCAGCAACGCCGCGUGAGUGAAGAAGUAUUUCGGUAUGUAAAGCUCUAUCAGCAGGGAAGAAAAUGACGGUACCUGACUAAGAAGCCCCGGCUAACUACGUGCCAGCAGCCGCGGUAAUACGUAGGGGGCAAGCGUUAUCCGGAUUUACUGGGUGUAAAGGGAGCGUAGACGGCGAGACAAGUCUGAAGUGAAAGCCCGGGGCUCAACCCCGGGACUGCUUUGGAAACUGCCUUGCUAGAGUGCUGGAGAGGUAAGUGGAAUUCCUAGUGUAGCGGUGAAAUGCGUAGAUAUUAGGAGGAACACCAGUGGCGAAGGCGGCUUACUGGACAGUAACUGACGUUGAGGCUCGAAAGCGUGGGGAGCAAACAGG